RNAcentral lists this transfer RNA (73 nucleotides) under Mucilaginibacter auburnensis. RNAcentral describes it as "tRNA-Cys". It matches the Rfam family "tRNA". Rfam says of the family: Transfer RNA (tRNA) molecules are approximately 80 nucleotides in length. Their secondary structure includes four short double-helical elements and three loops (D, anti-codon, and T loops). The record is from RNAcentral. Lineage: Bacteria; Pseudomonadati; Bacteroidota; Sphingobacteriia; Sphingobacteriales; Sphingobacteriaceae. RNAcentral also lists the same sequence under 1 other name.
GGCGGAGUGACCGAGCGGUUCAGGUGGGAGUCUGCAAAACUCUUUACAAUGGUUCGAAUCCAUUCUCACGCCU